Zonotrichia leucophrys gambelii is the source of this 160-nucleotide long non-coding RNA. RefSeq lists it as uncharacterized. The transcript is spliced from 3 exons. The record is from RefSeq and is a predicted model, not a curated record. Lineage: Eukaryota; Metazoa; Chordata; Aves; Passeriformes; Passerellidae.
GAAGAUGAAGGUGGCUGUGCUCAGCGUGGCCCUGCUCUUCUCCAUCCUGCUGUGCCCCCCGGCACAGGCCAAGGCACUCCUGGAAGGAACCCAAGAUGAUCUCCAGGAGCUCUCUCUGCAGUUGGAUUUAGACAAUGUCGUGGUCCUGGAAACGCCUCUG